This is a long non-coding RNA of Onychostoma macrolepis, 1061 nucleotides long. RefSeq lists it as uncharacterized. NCBI's taxonomy places the organism in Eukaryota, Metazoa, Chordata, Actinopteri, Cypriniformes, Cyprinidae. The record is from RefSeq and is a predicted model, not a curated record. The transcript has 3 exons.
AGAACACACGAGAAACACGCAGCACCACUGACAAAUGCAGUUCCGGUCGAAUUUGAAGACUUCAAAACAAAAGUCCCUGCUUAAGCCAGCACAUUUCAGAUCAAGAAAAGCACUGAACGGAUCAGAUACAAAAUAAAGAAAGAUCAAACAGAGGAAUCCAGGUGGAUCCAGACCGUGACGAGACAUCUAGUAAAAUUACUUUAUACCCUCAUCAUUAUAUAUAGAUAUGUCUCAGGUCUCUCCUUUAUUAUGGUGAGUCAGUGCAUGUCUGCUAGGCAGAUGCCAUUGUCUGUCCUCUGUGCUGUGAAAAGGAGACAAAGGCAGAUUUGAGGGAUAGUUUGUCCUCUCCAGAUACUGCAGUCUCCAUUGUCAUCCAGACGCCAAUGGGGAAGCAAAGUACCAAACUGGUUCUGCAGGGUCUUUGUACUGCGCUGGAGACCUGCCAGUGUGGGCUGACUGAUAACCUGCACUUUGCUUCUACUGAUUGAUUAAUCAUAGAGAUGUUUGGUGCACUUCUUCUAAUCUAAUCUUCUAAUCUGGCCUGCUGGUUAGCUCUUUCUGAUCUGAUCUUUUUUGCUUGUGCAAAAGUCAUGUCAUAAUCCAUCUCCUGUAAGAGAAAGGAUGCAGGAAUAUAUUUUUAGAUCUCAGAAUAAAACCAUUUUACAGUGAAAAGAUUAGCUUUAAUCACCUUAUUCAAGUUGCUGAUUCAUGUAGCAGUAAUCUUGAAAUUCAUGGCAGUGAGUCAAUGUAGUGCAAUACUUAUUUCCCAGAAAACAGAGUGCUAUCAUCUUAGUCAUCUUAAGGGAGUCUCCCAGACCUUCCUUUCUUAAACAUUCACAAUCAUUAUGAUCUUUGAUGAUCUAAGGUUCAUUGUGUAAUAGUGUAUUUUAAUAAUUUAUGUGUUAUGUUCUAAUUAAGCAAUGAAGGUCACUUAUACAGUAAGUAAAGUCAUGCCAUAUCCUGGAUUUAGUGUUUAAAUUCCCAACAUACUGUAGCAUGGCUUUAUGCAGCCUAUUGCUCUUUACAUCGGUGACUAGAAUGGAAAAUAAAAAUCGGCUUUU